Molecule: ribosomal RNA, 560 nt
Filed under: uncultured bacterium
Lineage: Bacteria
Description: bacterial SSU rRNA
Rfam family: Bacterial small subunit ribosomal RNA
Source: RNAcentral
UUCGAAUGGCAUCAUUUGAUUAUUAAAGUUCCAACGGUAAAAGAUGAGUAUGCGUCCCAUUAGCUAGAUGGUAUGGUAACGGCUUACCAUGGCUACGAUGGGUAGGGGUCCUGAGAGGGAGAUCCCCCACACUGGUACUGAGACACGGACCAGACUCCUACGGGAGGCAGCAGUGAGGAAUAUUGGACAAUGGGCGCAAGCCUGAUCCAGCCAUGCCGCGUGCAGGAAGACGGUCCUAUGGAUUGUAAACUGCUUUUAUACAGGAAGAAACACCUCUACGUGUAGAGACUUGACGGUACUGUAUGAAUAAGCAUCGGCUAACUCCGUGCCAGCAGCCGCGGUAAUACGGAGGAUGCAAGCGUUAUCCGGAAUCAUUGGGUUUAAAGGGUCCGUAGGCGGCCAAAUAAGUCAGUGGUGAAAGCCCAUCGCUCAACGAUGGAACGGCCAUUGAUACUGUUUGGCUUGAAUUAUUAGGGAAGUAACUAGAAUAUGUAGUGUAGCGGUGAAAUGCUUAGAGAUUACAUGGAAUACCAAUUGCGAAGGCAGGUUACUACUAAUAU